Non-coding RNA from Acanthosepion pharaonis, 100 nucleotides. Lineage: Eukaryota; Metazoa; Mollusca; Cephalopoda; Sepiida; Sepiidae. The record is from the annotation of a GenBank genome assembly.
AUGUGGCUAUAUCACGUUGAAACAGCGAUUCUCAUACGAUCACUGAAGUUAAGCAGCGUCGAGCCGGUACAUAGAUGAGUAACCUCUUGGGAAUACCAGG